Molecule: ribosomal RNA, 468 nt
Filed under: uncultured bacterium
Lineage: Bacteria
Description: partial 16S ribosomal RNA
Rfam family: Bacterial small subunit ribosomal RNA
Source: RNAcentral
GACGAACGCUGGCGGCGUGCUUAACACAUGCAAGUCGAACGGAAAGGCCCUGCUUUUGUGGGGUGCUCGAGUGGCGAACGGGUGAGUAACACGUGAGUAACCUGCCCUUGACUUUGGGAUAACUUCAGGAAACUGGGGCUAAUACCGGAUAGGAGCUCCUGCUGCAUGGUGGGGGUUGGAAAGUUUCGGCGGUUGGGGAUGGACUCGCGGCUUAUCAGCUUGUUGGUGGGGUAGUGGCUUACCAAGGCUUUGACGGGUAGCCGGCCUGAGAGGGUGACCGGCCACAUUGGGACUGAGAUACGGCCCAGACUCCUACGGGAGGCAGCAGUGGGGAAUAUUGCACAAUGGGCGGAAGCCUGAUGAAGCAACGCCGCGUGCGGGAUGACGGCCUUCGGGUUGUAAACCGCUUUCGCCUGUGACGAAGCGUGAGUGAAGGUAAUGGGUAAAGAAGCACCGGCUAACUACGUG